UACAUGUGGGGCAAGCGUUGUUCGGAUUUACUGGGCGUAAAGGGCGCGUAGGCGGUUAGCUCAAGUCAGUUGUGAAAUCUCCGGGCUUAACUCGGAAAGGUCAACUGAUACUGUGCGGCUAGAGUGCAGAAGGGGCAACUGGAAUUCUCGGUGUAGCGGUGAAAUGCGUAGAUAUGCGGAGGAACACCGAUGGCGAAGGCAAUCCCCUGGGCCUGCACUGACGCUCAUGCACGAAAGCGUGGGGAGCAAACAGG
Molecule: ribosomal RNA, 254 nt
Filed under: uncultured bacterium
Lineage: Bacteria
Description: partial 16S ribosomal RNA
Rfam family: Bacterial small subunit ribosomal RNA
Source: RNAcentral